RNAcentral lists this non-coding RNA (150 nucleotides) under Pycnococcus provasolii. Lineage: Eukaryota; Viridiplantae; Chlorophyta; Pseudoscourfieldiophyceae; Pseudoscourfieldiales; Pycnococcaceae. The record is from RNAcentral.
AGCAGCGUCGACAGAAUCAAGGAGACGUUUCGAACGCCGCUCAACGCUAUCAUCAGGAGAAUACUAGGAAGAACGGGAAACAAACAAGGCGCACUAGCACUGUCGGCCGACCCGUGGGGUGCGGUACGCAACCACGCGGAACGCAUCCUC